AAAUUGACCAAAGGGACACCAAAUGAUUGUCGAGCCGUAUGAGUUAGGAAACUCUUAAGUACAAAUUUAAGGGAACGAAUUUACUUAUCAUUCUGAUCGGGAAAACAAGCCUAUCCCUAAAGGGAUUAAAAAAAGAGAACAAUGAGGGAUUGGAGAGGGGAACUUAGAUCCACAUCCAUUGCGGGCUUGAACUAGUUUGUCUUAAAUAUGAUCCAAACCUAGAUCCAAAUCUAAGAUUAGAACGACCCAUGAACCCAAAAAUGGUUGGACCAUCAUUUAAUUUUUUUCUUUUUCUUUUUUCUGGAACUUUAGUAUGAUUUAAAAUUAAAUCAUAGCUAGCAAAUGAAUAUUUACAUUGUUAAAUUGUUUGUAAAAUAAUAAAAAAUUAGGCUUAUUAGCGCAAAAUCCCUCUAUCCUUUGGACGUAUAGUGGAAUACUCCUUAUUCUUCCAAAUUGGCCAAAC
Molecule: long non-coding RNA, 463 nt
Filed under: Olea europaea subsp. europaea
Lineage: Eukaryota; Viridiplantae; Streptophyta; Magnoliopsida; Lamiales; Oleaceae
Source: RNAcentral